UCUUACAAGUACCAACAGCGGGUGCCCUUGCCAGGCUGGGAUCCAGCUGCCUUGUGGGAAAGGCGCCUACUUAACUGUAGGUGUGAGAUGCCGGAUGGAAUGGUGAUGUGGUUAAAGCACUGGGUUGGGACUUGGGAACAGGGAUCCGGCAUGAAGUCUGAACCUCACGGUGAGCCGUUGGGAUGGGUUAUGCCUGUCCAGGCCCCAGUGCAUGGAAACUUUCUAAUCACAUCACCAAAGCUGAAACUUGCUUUCCGCCCCACGCCAGCCCCCAGCUGCCUUCCCAAGCAGUUUAGACAGCUGGAGAUUAUCUCAUGAAAACAAUCCCAGCAGUAGACGGGGGUCAAAUUCACGACAGCAGCAGCCUUAAUCUGAGUCAGCAUGGGAAAUCCAGAAGCACAGUGACAGAUGCUGAUAAUCCAGCCUCGCUCCCUGGAGAGGAGGGGCAGACAAUUGCUGUAGGACAGGAGAAGCUGUGUAUGGAAGCCCUGGGUUGAAGGAACAUGGAGGGAGCAUCUUCCCCUCCAGGCCCAGGAGAGGCUGGAGCCUCCAGAUCAAGGUGAGAGCUCAUUGGUGAUGUGUUGGGGUGGGAGGUGCAUGUCCAGAACUGGGUGAGCAUCAAGAAUGAAUUCCCCUUUGUCAGUGAAGGGGGAAGCAGCUGAAGACUGAAUUCCUUGUCCAUCCCAUGACAGCUGCAUCCUUCCAAUGGGUGGACGGCUUCUGAGAGAGGAGCAGAAUUGAAAGAACAUGGGGCAUGAAGGAGAGACCAUCAAACAGCUCCAAGGACUCUGGGAAAGGGUGAGGAGGACAGUAGGAGCCGUGGUGGGUGAAAGGAAGUGUGGUCUAAUGGACUGGACAGCAGACCCAGACUUCCUGUGUGACUGUGGGCGAGUCACUCAAUCUCCAGAGCACGCAUGGUAAUGCCAUGAGCUUUCCCCGCAGAGAGAGCCAUGACACCAGACCCUGCUCCGUAGGUGUCUGCGUCACAAAAAUCACAACCACACCUGGCGCUAGCGGCUCCCUGUGGGUCCGGGCAGCAGAAAGGCCAAGGACUGACUCAACUCCCCUUUCAUUGUGUGAGGGGGGUGCUCCUGAGCAGGCCACAGGCACUCCACCAGGGCAGGGUGGGAGAAGCUGGCAGUGCUGGUGCCCCUGCUCUAUAUAGGCUGUGUCUACACAUAGAGCCUCAGCUGGCAUAGCCCCCUAGCGCAGCAUAGACUCAGCAUGCACUGACAGAAGGAGGUUUUUGCUGGUGUAGGAACACCACCUCCCCGAAAGCCUUUAGCUGUGGCAUCAAAAACCCUCUUCUGUUAAGAUAGCAGCAUCUACACUGGGGUUUUUUAGCUACAUUGGUCAGGAGUAUGGGUUUUCACUCCCCUUGUCUGACAGAGCUAUGCCGGUAUAAGGUUUCAGUGUCGAUCAAGCAUAGGCAAUAUCAGGCACCCGUUCCUGUCCGUCCUGCACCUUCUACCAGUAUUACCUUCACUUGAGGGCAACAUCUAAUCUAAAAUCUAGUACUUCUCAUCAAAGAAGGUCAGUGUAAUCAGCCCCAUUUUACAGACGGGGAAACUGAGGCACAGAAAGAGGCCCAAACUCACCCAGCAACGGAGCUCAGCAUAGAACUCACCUCUCCGGAGUCCCAGGCUAAUGCUUUAGCUGCUGCUACUCUGAAGAGAAACCUAAAGAAUACAGCCAAAGCCACCUCUCUGAUUAGAAAGGUUUGGAAAACGCCCCUGCAGAUAUUGGAGUGUGGAGCUGGACAAUCAGCCAGACGCCCAGCCCCUUCUAUCCCUGUCUGAUCCUCCCUUUGAAUUUACAAAAGCAGAAUAAAGCGCCUACCGAUGCAAAAGCUGAGCUCAGAACAAUUGCUCUAGGUCAGUUCUCAGAUAGGGCUCUUAGCCUGCAGUGGAGUGGGUGGGGUAAAUCUCCCUACUAGAGUCAUCAUGGUGAGAAAUGCGGGUUUCUCCUAUAAUAAGGCAAGGAAUGUGCCAACUGAAGUGCCUGAAAGCAAAUCGCCUGUCGGUAUAUCCUCAGGAGGCUCCUAGGAUGUGAUGCCCUGUAAUGAUGGGAUGUCUGGGUUUCCUGUCCUGGGGCUAGUUCCUAGGGAGCUAGAUUGUUAAAGGUAUUUAGGUGCGUAAAGAUCAGGCCCUAAGGGACUAAGAGCCGCAGUUCUAAAGCGUCUGUGGAAUUGGUUCCCUUUGCCAUGGUUUGUAUUAAUGGAGCCUAGCAGCCUCGGCUAAGAUCAGGGCUUGUUUGUGCUACGACCAGGAGGAAGAGACCUUUCUGCACCGAAGAGUUUGCCACUGACAAAGAGCAGAAGAAAGUGCCGUGAGCCCCAUUUGACGGGGGGACCAAGGCACGGCAGGAUGAGGUGACAAGGUCACGCAGGGGAGUCCAUGGUAGAGCUGGGAACCGGAAUCCCAUCCCAGGACCUUACCUACAAGAUCAUCCUUCUGUUCUGGGGAACUGAUGCCCUCUACUCAUGAGGAACCCCCACCACAGGACAGCGAUUUUGCCCCCCUCCUCUGUUCCUUGCCUGACUAUAGACAAACCUCUCCUCCUCCCCCUUCAGAUCUCAGACGCCGAACACCCCAAGCGCAUGCUACAAACAGUCUGCCCGGCAGGGUGACCAGUAUCUGCAGCACCACUGACCACACAGGAGGGAAGAUACUGCUGGAGGUCCUGGAGAGUUGAACUGUGCAUGCCACUGUGCCCACCAGUGUAAUGAAGGAGAAGCUGUAUUUAGCAACUUGGAUUCCAGCUCUAUUUAUGAGGCUCCAAGAUACUGCAGAGUCUGAGAACAGACUGAGGACAGUUUUUCAGGAAACCUCACCAGCUUCUGAAGAUCCGUAGUGAGGGUGUGUGCAACAACGUGAGGGAUCAUGCUUAGCCAUUCCUGGGGUUGUUAGUCAGAGGGGAUCCGGUUAGGGUAAAGUCUUCCAGAAAAGAUUAGGUGAACUCGGAAUCUGACCAUCUUUAGGAAUGUAUAUUUAGGAAGUGUUGUGGCUUCCUAAAUAUACAUCCCUAAAGGCAUGCCACCAUAAGUGACACUUACAAUUCAGGCACCCCUUUUGGUCCCAAUCACCUACCAACUCCCACAAAAAACCAAACCCUAACCCAAGCAGAGUUUAGACCCCAAAGAGGGAGAAAUGCUAAAAAGUCCAUAAUUUUACGUGGAAGAAGCUCAGAUACUAUGAUGUUGGGCAACAAUAUAAAACCCUAAGGUAAAUAGAUAGUAAAUGACACCCUGAUUAAUGUCCAGGAAAUAUCUGUGGAUGUUAACAACACCCCCUUGUUUCAUGUUCUCUGUGUUUGUAUAUAAAUCUCCCCACUGUAUUUUCCACCGAAUGCAUCCGAUGAAGUGCAUCACGAAAGCUUAUGCUCAAAUAAAUUUGUUAGUCUCUAA
Molecule: long non-coding RNA, 3406 nt
Organism: Dermochelys coriacea (leatherback sea turtle)
Lineage: Eukaryota; Metazoa; Chordata; Testudines; Dermochelyidae
Exons: 2
Source: RefSeq, a predicted model, not a curated record